This 481-nucleotide ribosomal RNA is filed under the name uncultured bacterium. Its description in RNAcentral is "partial 16S ribosomal RNA". It matches the Rfam family "Bacterial small subunit ribosomal RNA", at positions 28 to 507 of the family's 1533-position model. The record is from RNAcentral.
GACGAACGUUGGCGGCGUGCUUAAUACAUGCAAGUCAACUGAAGCAGUGGUAGCAAUAUCGCUGUGGAGGUGGCGCACGGGUGAGUAACACGUAGGUAAUCUGCCUUCAGGUCUGGCAUAACUCCGGGAAACCGGGGCUAAUAGCAGAUGAUGCAGCGGCUCGACAUCGAGACAGUUGUUAAAGCUAUGGCGCCUGAAGAUGAGCCUGCGUCUGAUUAGCUAGUUGGCGGGGUAACGGCCCACCAAGGCAACGAUCAGUAGCUGGUCUGAGAGGAUGAUCAGCCACACUGGAACUGAGACACGGUCCAGACUCCUACGGGAGGCAGCAGUAAGGAAUAUUGCUCAAUGGGAGAAAUCCUGAAGCAGCAACGCCGCGUGAGGGACGAAGGGCCUUUGCUUGUAAACCUCUGUAGUGAGAGAAAAAAAUCCCAAUCCUUGGGACAUGAUGGUAUCUCAAAAGUAAGCCCCGGCUAACUACGUG